AAAUUGAAGAGUUUGAUCAUGGCUCAGAUUGAACGCUGGCGGCAGGCCUAACACAUGCAAGUCGAACGGUAACAGGAAGCAGCUUGCUGUUUCGCUGACGAGUGGCGGACGGGUGAGUAAUGUCUGGGAAACUGCCUGAUGGAGGGGGAUAACUAUUGGAAACGGUGGCUAAUACCGCAUAACGUCGCAAGACCAAAGAGGGGGACCUUCGGGCCUCUUGCCAUCAGAUGUGCCCAGAUGGGAUUAGCU
RNAcentral lists this ribosomal RNA (249 nucleotides) under Salmonella enterica subsp. enterica serovar Newport. Its description in RNAcentral is "partial 16S ribosomal RNA". It matches the Rfam family "Bacterial small subunit ribosomal RNA", at positions 1 to 246 of the family's 1533-position model. The record is from RNAcentral. Lineage: Bacteria; Pseudomonadati; Pseudomonadota; Gammaproteobacteria; Enterobacterales; Enterobacteriaceae.